Molecule: long non-coding RNA, 1387 nt
Filed under: Zea mays
Lineage: Eukaryota; Viridiplantae; Streptophyta; Magnoliopsida; Poales; Poaceae
Description: long non-coding RNA (ZMAY_LNC002040)
Source: RNAcentral
AAUGAGCUCCUGCUCAGCUAUCUCUACUUGCUGAACCUCAGAUUCCACGGUGGCUUGCUCGUCUACUCGCAUCAACACAAUACAUACAUAGCAUAGCAUAAAUUAACAUCACAUCAAACAUACAAAUAUAAUAUACAGUAAUAAACUAGACAUUAAAAUAUGAUCAUAGGAACUGGAAUCAUUAAAUUUGGAGUUAUAUAUUUUAAGUUAUGGAUUUUCUAAUGUUUUAUGUGCUUAAUACAAGAUUAAGUGCUAGAUAAAUUUUAAAUCAUCUCUCAUGUUAAAACAGAGGCACUAAUGGUUAGACAAUAAUUUUAUAAAAAUUUAGGAACUGGAAUGGACCAAUUUGGAGUUUAUAUGCAUUUUCUAUGAAUUAUACAAAUCCUAUGAAUUGUUUUUAUAUUUAAAACUCAUUUUCUAAUUCAUUUUCUUGAUUUUAUAAUUCUCUGGACGGGGCCUCAAAUACUGAAAACAGCAGGGGCUACGGUGUAAAAUAUCCUAGACACAGCGCGCUGUACAGGGUGGACGGCGGGUUGUUUUCAAGUAAACCGAGGGGCUUAUGUGUCAAAUGGGUGAUCAAAGGGUUAUCGGAGAGAUCUAACCGUCCGGUCGACAUUGAUCGGCCCAGAUUAGAUCUCAGGUGAAGUGAACCGGUAUGCAGCGUGAGACGUCGAAUCGGCGAUCGACGGACAAGGAUCCCUCUACCCUAACUCGGUUGUGAGCCGUCCGAUUAAAAUCCACGGUCACAAUUGGUCUGAUUGAAUCGGUACGCACAGUUCAAAUCCCCAUCGCCCAUUCGCAGAUCGACGGCCACCACACUGUCUACACGCAGGCGACACAGAUGCUAAUCCUAUUCGUCCAUCAGGACAUCGACGGCCCUAGGAUGUCUUCUACCGCUGCUCGAGACGGACGCCGGUGCCCAGCCCCAACCGCGGCGGCGAACCUCACCGGUGAUAGCAGACCCGACUCGCCAGAGCACAAAUUUCCUAAUCGAAGGGCGCUAUAUGAUGCGGAUACAACAACGAAUUGAUAGGUAGGGGUUUUACCGGUGCUUUUGGCCUAGGGACACCCGACCACGUGGUAUGGCGGCGCCGUGAUUUCCUACGGCGGAGGCGCUAGGACCGCGAUGCCCGGGUCCGUGACUCGACGGCGCCCGCGCAGUCUUCACGCCCGGCGAGGAAUUACGGGUUCUCCAGACGCAAUUUCCCCCAAGGCACAGAUACGCGAACAAUCCCAAGGGCUUGAUGAAGCUAUGCGAUGAGCCUUCUUGCUCCCAGCGUCUGCGGAGGUCAAGAUCCACGGCGGAGCUCCCGUGGCGGAUUCCCCCUCUGCUGGCUUCCCAUUUAUCCUCCCAGUUCCGGGUCAGAGGAGGGGAACAGAGCUGAGC